CUUGUCGCGAGCGCGCACGCAGUUCGGAGAGAGGCCGUCCAACUUUUUGAAUUCAUAUUUAAAACGACAAUAACCGUUUCCCAAAGUCUAUUUAAAGCUGCGCCAAAAAAUAGGAACCUUCACUUGCCUUUUUUUUGGGUCUGUCUCCUGCAACGGUUAGACCGAAAUGAUACAUUUACAACGGCACGGCCGCUCGAAUUUAGAAAAAUGACGAUCAUACAAAGUAGGUCUGUCAAUGUAGGCGGAGUGGAAUGCGUUCUUUAUAUUUUAAGAAAAAGCCUUAAGUGCGUUUAAAACAGCGAACUGUGAAUAAAAUGUAAUUUUCUACAGAGUGCAGUACGGAGCGGACCUUUUUUUUAGUGAUGUUACGGUGCGGACAGGUUUAGAUGGCCUCCAUCCACCCUUUACGUUCCUUCACAUGUUUCACAGCUGCUGCCCAGUGACUAAGUGAAUUGGCAAUAUAUUGUUUUAAAAGUCAUUGGAAUGAUCACUCCACGCUGUCACAUAGGAGCGGGGAUGUUGAAAGAACGCUGGUCAACCAGAUACAACUGAUGAUCUUUGAAGCAAAAAACCUAAACGUGCCCAAGGGAAAAAAGCAAUGAUAUUUAAGCAAAGAUGGAAAAGAACUGCAGUCUGCCCAGACAAGCAAUAGGUGGAAGAGUAAGAUGUAAGAUGACAGUGAUGAUGAAUACACCCCGUCACUUAUCACACUUGAUCUCUCACUGUCUCUUAGCUAACAGCUCAUACACUGAUACUGCACAUAAUUUGGAUAGCUUAUAAGUGAGAUAUGUACAUGUUGAGGCAUGUGCAUAACUGGUUGGUAGCCAGAUCAGGGGACAAGGAUAUUGCAGGUUGAGUUUAUGAUGCUGGAAAAGCACAGCAAAUCAGGCAGCAUCCGAGAAGCAAGAGAAUCUGUUUCAGGCAAAAGACAUUCCUGAUGAAGGGCUUUUGCCUGAAACAUUGAUGUUCCUGCUCCUCGGAUGCUGCCUGAUGACCUGCUGUGCUUUUCCACCUAAGGAUAUUGCAGGUGCCAGACUCCCCAAGGGCAUAUUCUUUUGCCUACGACUCGUGCACUUUUUGGGACAUCAUCUUUGCACCACAAGAAUCCCUUGCUAAUAAAUAUAUAUCAAUUGUGUUAUUUAUAUUCAGGUGGUGGAUAUUAAUUGUGAUCUCACUUGUGGUCAUUUGUGUAUGACUCCUGUUCUGGUUUCUUGUGUUCUAAGACAGCAUUCAUCCAUCCAGCACUUCUAUUCUGCCAGAUGUUUGACUCAUUUGUCAACUAGAUUGAAGCAAUGCUGAUUACGAGGCAGAAUGAAGUUGUGCUUCUUGAACAAGAAUGGCAAGACAGCCUUCACAUCCACCAGCAUACACCACAAGAUUAAAGCAAAGACAAAUGGAAUGUUGGUCUUUCUUUAGAAGAAAUUAGAGUUUAAAAUAGUAAGGUCUUGCUAAAUCAAUAAAAGGCAAUUAUCUGACCACAUAUUGUGAAUAGUUUUGGGGCACCUUUUAAUCAAGGAAAAGAUAUAUUGGCAUUAUAGGCAAUCCAAAGAAGGUUUAUUAGGCUGAUCCUGAAUAUGGAGGGACUUUAUUAUGAGAAGUUGAGCCUAAAUUUAUUGCAGUGGGGGUGGGGAAAGAGGUGACCUCAUUGAAGUAUACAUGAUUCUUGACAAAUUUUGUGCUGGCCUUCUACACAGUUGACCUCUUGUUCCUCCUUUGCUUCCAACACAAGUAUAAAAAUGAACCUAUUUUCCAAUAAUUUUUCAGUUUUUAAGAAAAGCAGCUCUGAACAAGAGUCAUUCUGGACUGAAAGUUAAAUUUUCUUUUUUCACAUGUGUGCCAAAUCAGCUGAGUUUCUCCAGCAUUGUGUUUGCUUAAGAUUUGCUUAAGUUUAGAUGUGGAAAAGUUGUUUCUCCUUGUGUCUAGGACCAGAUAGCACAAUCUCAUAAUUAAGGUCUUUAUGAUCAUUAACGGUCCUCAAGCCUCAACUCAUCACCUGAUUGUUUUUUUUAAUCCAUUGAACCACAAGUGACCAUGCCUUUAGAUUCUAAGUCAGCA
This is a long non-coding RNA of Hemiscyllium ocellatum (epaulette shark), 2055 nucleotides long. RefSeq lists it as uncharacterized. NCBI's taxonomy places the organism in Eukaryota, Metazoa, Chordata, Chondrichthyes, Orectolobiformes, Hemiscylliidae. The record is from RefSeq and is a predicted model, not a curated record. The transcript has 3 exons.